CGCGCGCCAGCCAAUCAGCGCUCACAGACACGCCCCCCGGCCCCGGCGCGCACGACGACCCAAUGGGCAGCCGCUGUCUGUGACGUCACGCCCCACCUUAUCCUCCCCUCCCCCCCCAUGGCCUGUGGGCGUGGUGGUGCGGGACUGGGGCGGAGCUACCACGGGAGGCACCGUGGAGGCGGCUUGCGUUUGUGCAUCACUCCCUGGUGGGAAUCCGGUUGCGCAUCUCUGCACUUCACCUAGGUGACCUGGUCACUAGACCUUCAGGGGCUGCGUGUUUGGGGGAGACCUGUAGACUGAUUGAAAGUGCCUAGAGGAGAGUCAGAGUUCUCAGAAGAUGGAGGUAUUGCAGGGAGCUGAGCCAGUCAGGCUUGGAGAGACUUGUCCUGCUGACAGAGGUGACAAGGGCAGAAGACCAAAACAGCCCAAAGAAACAACCCUGAGACCCACUGUGAUGAGGACAGCCUGGGAGCCUGUAACUCUUACUGAAUGUUUCUUUAGCUGUAUUGGACCAGUGCUUGCUGGCUUAUUCUUCAAAGACUCUUGGCUAAGACGGUUUGUGUAGCCCGGGUUGUCCUGGAACUCAGGCUGGCGUUGAACUUAGAGAUCCAUCUGCUGCUGCCUCCUAGGUCUGGAAUAAAGGCACGUGCUACUACCA
This is a non-coding RNA of Myodes glareolus (Bank vole), 658 nucleotides long. The record is from RefSeq and is a predicted model, not a curated record. Lineage: Eukaryota; Metazoa; Chordata; Mammalia; Rodentia; Cricetidae.